Falco peregrinus (peregrine falcon) is the source of this 2296-nucleotide long non-coding RNA. RefSeq lists it as uncharacterized. The record is from RefSeq and is a predicted model, not a curated record. NCBI's taxonomy places the organism in Eukaryota, Metazoa, Chordata, Aves, Falconiformes, Falconidae. The transcript is spliced from 2 exons.
GGCGCGUCCACCACGUGACCCGGGGCCGGGUUACUGCCCGGGCCCCGCCAUGUCAGCGCCGGCCCCGCCCCCGGGGAGGGGAAAUGGCGGGGUGAGGCCCGCGGCGCCCUGUCGCCUGGCGCUCGGUAGCCGCCGCGGUUGUUGCGUGUCUGCGGUCGUUGCUUGGGCUGGGGGCCUGAGCCCGGAGGCUGCGGGGCUCGUCCCCUUGGGCCAGGCCGCAGCUUCUGUGGCGCUGUUGGGGGCCGGGCCUGGCUCGGCUCCCUGAGGCGGUCGCUGCGGGGCGGGCUGCGUGUCUGGGCGGAGGAGCUGAGAGGGGAGCUGGGGUGAAAGCAGUGCCAGCUUCCAUCUUCACACUUAAAAAAUACUGGUUUUUCUAUCCCCCCGUAGUCGAGUCUCACAGGUGGCACAGAGCACAUGCUAAACACCGUUCUGGAUAGAGCCAAGGACCGGUACUGGAGUGUGUUGAGUACCUAGCAUGACUACAGUGGAAAAAACUGUGCUGCUUGCUUAUAUUUAUAAAACAGAGCAAAACUGAAAGGCUGCUCUCUGUGUCAAGUGUUUUGCACUGAUAAAGGUGAUAGUUUAAUAGAUGACUGCAUUUGUGCUAACACAUGGAGUUAAUGUUCAUGAGGAAACUGCAGGUAUGCUGCAAAGUGUAGUUUCAAGGGCACUGGCUGGCUAUUGGCAUCUAUUUAAAGAGCACGUUUGUCAAGUACUACUGUAAUGUGUUGGUAUCGUGUCAAAUCAUAGCGAGUUGCAGUCUGCAGAGUGUUGGAUGAUACGGUAUGUUCAAAAUGUCUUUGUUUAAUGUACAAUUUCAUUGUUUAACUGUAGCCCUGUACACCAGCAAGGGGAGUAAGCUGGAAACAGGAGGCUCAGAAUGUUACGGAAAUCUCAGAAAGUGUGUUUGGCUUGCUUUUGUGUUAUACUACUAAACUGUGUCUGCUGUUGGAGUUGUUAAUCAAAUACAGAUUACUCUCAGGAGUCUCCUCUGUCAUCAAUAUGUGACUGUCCAGCAAUUAGCCCUCUUUGCAGUUCAAAAAGAUGUGCUUUCAGAGAAAGCUGACAGUAACAAGAACUUGUUCUACUCAUUGUGAAAUGUGUAAGUAGGAGUUUGUGUACAGUUACACAGCUGAUAUUCAGAGAAGUUUUUAAAAUAAAUGGGUUGUAGUGAUAAAUGGAAAGCUCUUACAAAUGUCAUCAGUAUCUAUAGGUUGAUCUUUUAUCAGAAAAAAAGUAUUUGAACUUUAAUAGUUCUUUUUUUAAAGAAAGCUGCUGAGCUAAGGAGCGGAGGAGCAAAGGUAAUACUGCCCAUCUAGUGUUGGUGUCAUAGCUUUUUGUGACUUUUUUUUUUUUCCAUCUUCAACAUGGUAAACUAUUUCAUAUGUAGCUUCUACUACUGUUUUUGUUCACGUCACCCUCCAAAAAUUCACAAAAGGUAGCUUGCUCUGCCACCUGAAAAAUAACAAACAGCAAAAGCCAAACUGGAAUAUGUGGUGAGACGUUGAAAAAAUGCAGAUUAUUUCUGUCCAGUUCUUGCAUCAAUUAAAAAGCAUUCUGAGAACUAAGAAUGGUUUCUUUGAAGGUUCUUGGCUUAGGGAGAGAGAGUGAGUGAGAAUGGAUUUCCUGCAUUGGUGAUCAAUUUUCAGGUUUGAAAUCUAGAUGUUAAGUGGUGACAGCUGUUUCUAUAAUGUUGAGUACCUGACACUAUAUUCCUUUCAGCGUAUACUUUAUAAUACAAAUGCAGGUCUCAGCAUGCUAUUAGUAGCUUAUACAGAGUAACAGAAGAACAAAAUCUUCUCAGGACAGGAAAGGCUGCCAGUGGUUCUGGAAAUUCACGUUAAAUUUGGGACUUCUUUUGCCUAUUAAAACUUUUUAAGGUUUAUAUAUUAUAUAUUUGCCUUUCAUGGGGUGUUCACCACAGGUUCUAGAGGUGAUUCCUCUAAGAACCAAGUGUUACAUGCUUUCCGUUUUCCUCAUUGCUAUUUAUGUAUUAGAUAUUGUUUUAUUAUGAAUCUUCUUUUUUAAUUGCUUUUGUAGCAUGUUUGUAAUCAGACUUUGUGCAUAAUUGGAUUUUACGUAACCUGCAGUGGGAAAAAAAUAACAAAAAUACUAAGGACCAGGCACGGGCUAUCAUGGAGGGAACUGAAGAAGUUACCACCCCGACAUUAUUCAGGACUGUGCUGGAUUCACGAGUGAAGAAGUCUGUUUUUUGCAUUACAUGAGACUUUGCUGGAUUGUUAUUCCGUUAUCCAAUUUCUAGUUCAUGUUUGUUAAUAAAUUGUUAUUUGUUGUU